ACCCAACUGAUGAGUCCCAAACGGGACGAAACGCGCGUCCCAGAU
RNAcentral lists this non-coding RNA (45 nucleotides) under Schistosoma mattheei. The record is from RNAcentral. Lineage: Eukaryota; Metazoa; Platyhelminthes; Trematoda; Strigeidida; Schistosomatidae.